UAGUUAAAUUUGGCUAGUUAGAAAAAUUAGCUCUAAAUUCUUUAUAAAAAAUAUAAAUAACAUUUAAUGUUAGAAGAUUAAGUUUAUUUAAUAAAAAAUAUUAUUGAUAUUUAGAGAAAUCUCUAGUUAAUUUUGUGCCAGCAACAGCGGUUAUACAAAAAGAGAUCUUUUUAAGUUAAAAACUUAUUUUUAAUUUUAAUUUAAAAUUAGUUUAAAAAAUUAAGGUGAAAUUUAAUUUAUUAUAAAAAUAAUAAAUAAAGUAGAAAUUCAUUAAAUAAACUAGGAUUAGAUACCCUAUUAUUAAGAGUUAUAUAUUGCAAGUAUAUAAAUAUUAUGAAAACAAAAAAUUGUGGCGGUAUUUUAAGCUUUUCAGAGGAAUUUGCUCUAUAAUGGAUAAAACACCAAUAUCUUACUAAAAUUAGUUAAACAGUUUGUAUACCACUAUUUAAGUAAUAAUUUGUAGUUAUUACUAAAAUUUAAAAAAUAAAAAAAGUUAAGUCAAGGUGCAGCAAAAAUUUUAGAAUGAAGUGAAUUACAUUUCUUUAAAGAAAUUGUAAAUGAAAUAUAAAAUUUAGGAUUUGAAAGUAAAAUUUUAAUAAAAUGAAAAUUUGAAUUAAGCUCUAAAAUAUGUACAUAUCGCCCGUCGCUCUUUUAUGAAGAUAAGUCGUAACAAAGUUAAAGUACUGGAAAGUGCUUU
RNAcentral lists this non-coding RNA (697 nucleotides) under Haemaphysalis qinghaiensis. The record is from RNAcentral. Lineage: Eukaryota; Metazoa; Arthropoda; Arachnida; Ixodida; Ixodidae.